This 332-nucleotide long non-coding RNA is filed under the name Rattus norvegicus (Norway rat). Its description in RNAcentral is "long non-coding RNA NONRATT031839". Lineage: Eukaryota; Metazoa; Chordata; Mammalia; Rodentia; Muridae. The record is from RNAcentral.
GUGGAGGUCAGGGGUUGGUUCUUUCCUUCUUACCCUUUCAGGUUCUGAGGAUCAAACUCAAGUUGUCAGAUUGAUGGAGGAUUACCCAGUGAGCCGUCCCUCCAGCCUAAAAGGAAGUGCGUCAAGUGAUCGGUGUCCGGGAUGGAGCUGCUACAGAGCAUGCGCCCUGCGGCAGAUUUGCAACUUUACCGAAAAGAAUGGAAAAGGAAAAAGAAAGGACGUUACCUACGGCAGAUGUGGUUUCUCAACAUUUCACAAUCUGGAUUACCGGCUGGAGAUUUGGUUCUCCGGUAAGGGCCAGGACCCCUAUCUUGCAGAGGACUAGAUUAAUU